GUGCCCGUAACUCAGUGGUAGAGUGUGAGAUUGCAACUUCCGCUGAAGUAACUAUCUUGAAGCCGCGUGUUCGAACCACGCCGGGCACU
Molecule: non-coding RNA, 89 nt
Organism: Paramarasmius palmivorus
Lineage: Eukaryota; Fungi; Basidiomycota; Agaricomycetes; Agaricales; Marasmiaceae
Source: the annotation of a GenBank genome assembly